ACACGGAGGGUGCAAGCGUUGUUCGGAAUUAUUGGGCGUAAAGCGCGUGUAGGCGGCUUGGUAAGUCAGGUGUGAAAGCCCUUAGCUCAACUAAGGAAAGUCAUCUGAAACUGCCAGGCUUGAGUACGGGAGAGGAGAGUGGAAUUCCCGGUGUAGAGGUGAAAUUCGUAGAUAUCGGGAGGAACACCCGUGGCGAAGGCGACUCUCUGGACCGAUACUGACGCUGAGACGCGAAAGCGUGGGGAGCAAACAGGAUUAGAAACCCCAGUAGUCC
RNAcentral lists this ribosomal RNA (274 nucleotides) under uncultured bacterium. RNAcentral describes it as "partial 16S ribosomal RNA". It matches the Rfam family "Bacterial small subunit ribosomal RNA", at positions 523 to 796 of the family's 1533-position model. The record is from RNAcentral.